UGGCGGCAGGCCUAACACAUGCAAGUCGAGCGCACUCUUCGGAGUGAGCGGCGGACGGGUUAGUAACGCGUGGGAAUAUACCCGGUACUAAGGAAUAGCCACUGGAAACGGUGAGUAAUACCUUAUACGCCCUUCGGGGGAAAGAUUUAUCGGUAUCGGAUUAGCCCGCGUUAGAUUAGUUAGUUGGUGGGGUAACGGCCUACCAAGACGACGAUCUAUAGCUGGUUUGAGAGGAUGAUCAGCAACACUGGGACUGAGACACGGCCCAGACUCCUACGGGAGGCAGCAGUGGGGAAUCUUAGACAAUGGGCGCAAGCCUGAUCUAACCAUGCCGCGUGAGUGAUGAAGGCCUUAGGGUCGUAAAGCUCUUUCGCCAGGGAUGAUAAUGACAGUACCUGGUAAAGAAACCCCGGCUAACUCCGUGCCAGCAGCCGCGGUAAUACGGAGGGGGUUAGCGUUGUUCGGAAUUACUGGGCGUAAAGCGCGCGUAUGCG
RNAcentral lists this ribosomal RNA (494 nucleotides) under marine sediment bacterium ISA-7282. Its description in RNAcentral is "bacterial SSU rRNA". It matches the Rfam family "Bacterial small subunit ribosomal RNA", at positions 37 to 577 of the family's 1533-position model. The record is from RNAcentral.